Molecule: ribosomal RNA, 484 nt
Filed under: uncultured bacterium
Lineage: Bacteria
Description: bacterial SSU rRNA
Rfam family: Bacterial small subunit ribosomal RNA
Source: RNAcentral
AUUGAAUGCUGGCGGCAUGCCUUACACAUGCAAGUCGAACGGCAGCAUGGGUGCUUGCACCUGAUGGCGAGUGGCGAACGGGUGAGUAAUGCAUCGGAACGUACCCGGAAGUGGGGGAUAACGUAGCGAAAGUUACGCUAAUACCGCAUAUUCUGUGAGCAGGAAAGCGGGGGAUCGCAAGACCUCGCGCUUCCGGAGCGGCCGAUGUCGGAUUAGCUAGUUGGUGAGGUAAAGGCUCACCAAGGCGACGAUCUGUAGCGGGUCUGAGAGGAUGAUCCGCCACACUGGAACUGAGACACGGUCCAGACUCCUACGGGAGGCAGCAGUGGGGAAUUUUGGACAAUGGGCGCAAGCCUGAUCCAGCCAUGCCGCGUGAGUGAAGAAGGCCUCGGUUGUAAGCUCUUCGUCCGGGAGAAGUACGCAUGGUUAAUACCUCGUGCGGAGUGACGGUACCGGCGACUAAGAAGACACCGGCGUAACUACG